This is a non-coding RNA of Pelobates cultripes (western spadefoot toad), 827 nucleotides long. Lineage: Eukaryota; Metazoa; Chordata; Amphibia; Anura; Pelobatidae. The record is from the annotation of a GenBank genome assembly.
GGUUGCAGAAGAAGUCCUGGAAAAUUCUAAAGUGGCCAUCACAGUUACCUGCCUUGAACCCCAUAGAAAAUUUCUAUGGGCAUUUGAAGAAGGUCGUUGCAGCAAGCAAACCCAAGAAUAUUACUGAACUGGAGGCCAUUGCUAAUGAGCAAUGGGCUAAGAUUCCCUUAGGAAUGCUGCCAGAAGCUGGUGUCUGUCUAUGCAUCUCGUUUGCAGCAGGUCAUAACAGCAGGGAGCUCUAAUUUCGAGACUGGAGAAGUCAUUAUAGUUUCAGCUGAAUUUGGGGAAACCACUUGAAGCAUUCGUUGUCUUGAGCUAUUUCAAUUGCUUUUGUUUGAUUUAUGCCUUGCAAACAGCUGAAAGUCAGUAAAUGUUGACAAUAAAAACAUGUGAAAAACAAAAAAACAUUAAACAGGGAAACCUGGAGGAAAGGAGAACAAUGAUAAGAAUAAAGUAGGCCCUAACCUUUUUUUUGUAACUUUAAAAAAAGAAUGACUUGUAAAGAAUCAAUACAAUGGAUAUCAAAGGGGUAAGUUCCCUAUGAGAGGCUGUGGUAAUCAGUCCCUAAUGAUAAUAGGGGAGUCUAUUCACAAGCUGCUACCUGAUUUGAGGUAGAUAACAACUGCAAAUAAAGAGAGGGAGUCAAAAAAGCCAGCUCCCUUAGGAAUAGUCAGAGUAAGGUUCCAGGGUUCAUUAGGAAGCUGUUCACAAACCCACAAAAACUUGAUAAAGCAGAUAAGCCCCUAAAGCGAGUAAGCAGUGUGAAUGCAUAUGUAAAAAAAGAGUGUAUAUUGGUUUGAAAAGUGUGCAUUUAGGUUUCAUUAAAC